This 449-nucleotide ribosomal RNA is filed under the name uncultured Streptococcus sp. RNAcentral describes it as "bacterial SSU rRNA". It matches the Rfam family "Bacterial small subunit ribosomal RNA", at positions 933 to 1382 of the family's 1533-position model. Lineage: Bacteria; Bacillati; Bacillota; Bacilli; Lactobacillales; Streptococcaceae. The record is from RNAcentral.
UGGAGCAUGUGGUUUAAUUCGAAGCAAACGCGAAGAACCUUACCAGGUCUUGACAUCCCGAUGCUAUUUCUAGAGAUAGAAAGUUACUUCGGUACAUCGGUGACAGGUGGUGCAUGGUUGUCGUCAGCUCGUGUCGUGAGAUGUUGGGUUAAGUCCCGCAACGAGCGCAACCCCUAUUGUUAGUUGCCAUCAUUCAGUUGGGCACUCUAGCGAGACUGCCGGUAAUAAACCGGAGGAAGUGGGGAUGACGUCAAAUCAUCAUGCCCCUUAUGACCUGGGCUACACACGUGCUACAAUGGUUGGUACAACGAGUUGCGAGUCGGUGACGGCGAGCUAAUCUCUUAAAGCCAAUCUCAGUUCGGAUUGUAGGCUGCAACUCGCCUACAUGAAGUCGGAAUCGCUAGUAAUCGCGGAUCAGCACGCCGCGGUCGAAUACGUUCCCGGGCCUU